GUGCGCACCGCGUAUGGAACCUACCUUUUACAGGGGAAUAGCCCAGGGAAACUUGGAUUAAUGCCCCGUGGCACCGCGAUCCGGCAUCGGGACGCGGUUAAAGCCUUCGGGCGGUAGAAGAUGGCCAUGCGUCCCAUUAGUUAGUUGGUAAGGUAACGGCUUACCAAGACAGCGAUGGGUAGGGGCCCUGAGAGGGGGAUCCCCCACACUGGUACUGAGACACGGACCAGACUCCUACGGGAGGCAGCAGUGAGGAAUAUUGGACAAUGGAGGAGACUCUGAUCCAGCCAUGCCGCGUGCAGGAAGAAUGCCCUAUGGGUAGUAAACUGCUUUUAUACGGGAAGAAAAAAGGGUACGUGUACCCUACUGACGGUACCGUAAGAAUAAGGACCGGCUAACUCCGUGCCAGCAGCCGCGGUAAUACGGAGGGUCCGAGCGUUAUCCGGAAUUAUUGGGUUUAAAGGGUCCGUAGGCGGGCCGGUAAGUCAGUGGUGAAAGUCUGUAGCUCAACUAUAGAAUUGCCUUUGAUACUGCCGGUCUUGAUUUAUGGUGAAGUUGCCGGAAUAUGUGGUGUAGCGGUGAAAUGCAUAGAUAUCACAUAGAACACCGAUUGCGAAGGCASGUGACUAACCAUAUACUGACGCUGAUG
RNAcentral lists this ribosomal RNA (649 nucleotides) under Maribacter sp. TBL_20. Its description in RNAcentral is "bacterial SSU rRNA". It matches the Rfam family "Bacterial small subunit ribosomal RNA", at positions 106 to 751 of the family's 1533-position model. The record is from RNAcentral. Lineage: Bacteria; Pseudomonadati; Bacteroidota; Flavobacteriia; Flavobacteriales; Flavobacteriaceae.